GUGCUUUUUUUAAUAAUUUAGUUACAACAUCAGACAUUCCCAAGCUCACAUGAAGGCCAUUUGCAGUUCUUGUCUUUCCGUCAAGUAAGUUUCCAAAGGCAUGCAAAUGGCUUCUAAUGCUGCAUAUAGGUUAGGGAUGAGGAAAGGAGAUUAUUAUGCUGGGAGAGCCCUAUAAUUAAGGGCGCACUAAUUCUCCCACUUCCUUAGUAUAUAUUUUAGAGCAAGCAGAAGUUGAAUCUCUCUGCCCCUAUCUCUCUCUGACUCUUUGGAAUUUCUAGCUUUGAGCAAGGCUAUCUCUCUUUCCCUCUCUCCGUAGAGGCGGGGAGGGUGGCUGCCGAAUCUUUGUCGGCCGGUAAGCAGAGUACUUUGUGCAGAUAAUCUAUCUUAACUAGCUAUGAUUUCAAGUGUAAUUAGUACUCUUUUUGGCACAAAUUCUUGUGCUAAGUUCAUGUACCAAUUUUGUAAUUGCUGUUGCUGAACGUGCGACUAUAUAGAAUAUAGUCAAAAUGCCGCCUCCCUCUUUCAGCUAAGCUGAGUCAUUUUUUUUUCUUUUGUUCAGCUAACGCCGCUCGACAGUUGAUGUUGGCUAAUGUGCUAUUCUUCAGGUAGAUUAGCUAGCUAGCUACUUAGCUUCAUGAUGAUUACAAUUUAUGAAGAGAAUGUGACCAGCAAUGGCGUGUAACGGCAAAGCAUAUUUGUAGUAGCAUGCAAAAUAAUCAAGAAACCAUUUACAAUUAGAAGCACC
RNAcentral lists this small RNA (745 nucleotides) under Oryza sativa Japonica Group (Japanese rice). RNAcentral's name for it is "sRNA Os01g0835651". Lineage: Eukaryota; Viridiplantae; Streptophyta; Magnoliopsida; Poales; Poaceae. The record is from RNAcentral.